GUUGCUUUUGCAAAUUGCAAAUUUGAGAAUGCAGUGAACCUGAUCAUGCGGAAUUUCGUCGCCAACAACCUGUCAGAUAGCCCUUCGAAUAAAUUGCUAAAACCACGUGAGACCGCCUUCGUCACCAAAAAGUCUUUCCAACUCUGGUUGGUACUUCAAUUCAGAGCCUCUAUUCAAUGUCAUUUGGUGGCUAAAGUUUC
Molecule: long non-coding RNA, 200 nt
Filed under: Gossypium raimondii (Peruvian cotton)
Lineage: Eukaryota; Viridiplantae; Streptophyta; Magnoliopsida; Malvales; Malvaceae
Description: long non-coding RNA (GRAI_LNC005438)
Source: RNAcentral